RNAcentral lists this ribosomal RNA (433 nucleotides) under uncultured bacterium. RNAcentral's name for it is "partial 16S ribosomal RNA". It matches the Rfam family "Bacterial small subunit ribosomal RNA", at positions 29 to 507 of the family's 1533-position model. The record is from RNAcentral.
AGCGAACGCUGGCGGCAGGCUUAACACAUGCAAGUCGAGCGGGCCCUUCGGGGUCAGCGGCGGACGGGUGAGUAACGCGUGGGAACGUGCCUUCUGGUCUGGAAUAACCCUGGGAAACUAGGGCUAAUACCGGAUACGCCCUUUUGGGGAAAGGUUUACUGUCGGAAGAUCGGCCCGCGUCUGAUUAGCUAGUUGGUGGCGUAACGGCCUACCAAGGCGACGAUCAGUAGCUGGUCUGAGAGGAUGAUCAGCCACACUGGGACUGAGACACGGCCCAGACUCCUACGGGAGGCAGCAGUGGGGAAUAUUGGACAAUGGGCGCAAGCCUGAUCCAGCCAUGCCGCGUGAGUGAUGAAGGCCUUAGGGUUGUAAAGCUCUUUUAUCCGGGACGAUAAUGACGGUACCGGAGGAAUAAGCCCCGGCUAACUUCGUG